RNAcentral lists this ribosomal RNA (441 nucleotides) under uncultured bacterium. RNAcentral describes it as "SSU rRNA". It matches the Rfam family "Bacterial small subunit ribosomal RNA", at positions 26 to 518 of the family's 1533-position model. The record is from RNAcentral.
AGAGCGAACGCUGGCGGCAGGCCUAAUACAUGCAAGUCGAACGAGCCCUUCGGGGCUAGUGGCGGACGGGUGAGUAACACGUGGGAACGUGCCUUUUGGUUCGGAACAACUCAGGGAAACUUGAGCUAAUACCGAAUGUGCCCUUCGGGGAAAGAUUUAUCGCCAUUAGAGCGGCCCGCGUCUGAUUAGCUAGUUGGUGAGGUAAAGGCCCACCAAGGCUACGAUCAGUAGCUGGUCUGAGAGGAUGAUCAGCCACACUGGGACUGAGACACGGCCCAGACUCCUACGGGAGGCAGCAGUAGGGAAUCUGCGCAAUGGGCGAAAGCCUGACGCAGCCAUGCCGCGUGAAUGAUGAAGGUCUUAGGAUUGUAAAAUUCUUUCAGCGGGACGAUAAUGACGGUACCCGCAGAAGAAGCCCGGCUAACUCGUGCCAGCAGCCGC